UUUACCUGGAGAAAAAUAUGUGCUAUGUUAUAGGACAACGCACCAGACCAUCUGCGCUCCCUUCUUCAAAAUCCUGGUUCUGCCCAUGCUCACAAAUACUUAUAAGUAGAGUUCAGAAAGAGGAUGCUAUGUAGAUGUCAACCCAGAUCAGUGGUUGUAUUAACAUAUGCUCCAGUGAGGACUACAUCACUUCAAUCUUGGCAUUUCUACUUUGACAGUUUCUUUAAACCAGUUCCUAAAAAUCAAGGACCACUGUAUCCUUACCACUGUAAGUGAGGAUAACACAUUUAGCUUCUGUACCACAUUUCCACGUGCGAACUAAUGGUAAGGGGGAAUGAAGAUUGCAAACAUAUAUUUUGUUUGCAUUUAUAAUAACUUUAAAAUGUGCCAUUUUGAGACUGAAAACUUGCUUCUACACUAUGAAAAACAACUUCUUCAUAACAGGAACACAUGGGAAGGAAUCUCUAAAGAAACCUCACCAGGACUUUAACAACAUCCACUCCUCCCUUAGACUAACUCUGGAAUAUUUAACCCAUCAAAUUAAUUUCUUAGACACUACAGUGAAGGUUUGCAAUGGACAUACUGCCAUCAUGUUGUAUCAGAAACGAACCAACCACCAAAGGUACCUUCACGUCCCUGGCUUUCAACCUAAGGACACCGUUAGAUCCAUCGUUUACAGUUAAGCUCUAUGUUACAACCGGAUCUGCUCUGAUCCCACUGAUUAGGAUGUACACUUCAAGGAUCUGGAGCAGGGAUUCCUACAAUUACAAUACAAUUCCAGAACUGUAUCUAUUCAAAUCAACAAAGACAAACUCAGACAUCACUCUAACCUGCUACAAAAAAAAUCCCUGGGACAAGGACAACAGAAUACCUUUGGUUGUCAUCUACAGCCCCAAGCUUGAACACCUUAAUCACUAAUGACAUCUAACGCUUCCUGGAAAAUGAUGACUUUCUCAAGGUAGCCAUGGGGGACAAACCUAUCCUAGCUUACAGACAGUACACCCAACUUCAAACCAUGUCUAUCAAGCCACAGACUAACUAACUCCCAUCAUCACCAAGGCACCAGGCCUUGUAAUGGACCCAAAUGCCAGCUAUGCCUUCACAUUAAUACAUACCACAUAAUCACUGGAUCAAAUAACAAGGAAUAUAACAUAUGCUCCAGCAAGAACUACAUCACUUCAAUCUUGACAUUUCUACUUGGACAGUUUCUUUAAACCAGUUCCUAAAAAAUCAUGGUAAUUCACCUGCAACUCUACCAAUGCCAUAUAUGCCAUCACCUGCAUACAGUGUACUGCUGCUGUCUACAUCAGACAGAAGGAGAAAUUUCUACAUGUAAAAAUGAAUGAACACUGAUUUGACAUUGGCUGCAGAAAGACAUGAAGGCCUGUGGCAGAAUAUUCCAUCACUGACCUCAGGAUCACUGUUUUCAGGCAGCAAAAUUUUUUAAACCAAUUUGAAUGGGAAAUAGCAUAAAAAAAUUGUCCGCAGAUUGGAUUAUGUGUGGUCUAAACAUGGACUAUGGAUUCUUAUCCCAUUACCUGGAUUAGUUUUUGUGGCCCCUCUGCUUCUAUGGAUUCUUUGCUUGUUUGCCUCUCCUAGCACUGCCUUUCUCCCACACCCUUCCUCUCCAUCUUCCUUUCUCACCUUUUGCAUUCAAAAUGCUCACUCCACUUUAUACGUUGCUUUUUGCUUAUCCUUUCACAUCAUCUGAUGAAUUGAGCUCAAAUUCACAAAAGCUUAUGCUCUAGUCUAGAUAUCUUAUUUAAUUGGUCUAUAAGGUACAUACCAACCCUACCAUCUGAUUGACUUCAAGCUAACAUGGCUAACUACCUCUCCAUGUGUAAGCAAACCAGUAAGCAAACUUCAUCCCACUGUCUCAGUGUUGUGACCCUCGCUCUCUUUACCCUCUUGUAUUCAUCCCUUUUCAUGUAACAGUCAUAGCUAAUCUUUGGCUCUAGUCAUUCAAUGGACAGCAGGCAAGUGAGCUGCUCCACUUACGCAGAGUCCUGUUGAAUCCUGUGGGGGUAUACAGAUAUAAGAGUCUGCCUGUACACUGCCAGUUGCGAGAUCAGCUCCCAAGACUGCAAAUACUUCAAGACAGGGACUAUUUCUUUUUCUGUAGAGUGCCCAGUAUUUCACAUAAAUAAUAAGUAAAUGAAGCAGACUGACUGACCAGCUCUACAUGAGAUCUAUGUUAUUGGUUUUGGUUAGGCCUGAUUUAUACAGUGCAAACCUUAAUGUUUCCUCAAACAAAGCUGACCUUUCUGAGCCAAUCUUUUGAAUCAGAAUACGUUAAUUUAUGCAGGAACCCCUUUACCUUUAUUCUGCUUGACAGUCUAUAUAUUUGUUUAUGGCGUUCAAAACAAACCCACUGGUAGAGGAUACUGAGCUUAGAGAAGAAUUGUGUAUUAUUCUCCUGUUAGAAACAGCCAAGAGAAAUUUAAGAUAGCUUAGCUACAGAACAUAAUGAAAAGCAAAGAAACUGAGUAAUGGGAUGAGUCACAGUUGUGUAAGGACAUGGAUUGAUUUGUCUGUGUAGUCUAGAAUUUCUGUUGAGUAGUAUCUCAGUUUUCUGUACAUUGUAAUUUAGAUUAAUAAGAGCAUCUCAUUACUGUGUUUUCACCUUUUCUUUAAUGUUUUUCUUUAAAAAUUGUAUUUGCAUAUGUAAAUAAACAAAAUAGUCAUAGUAAGACAAAUAAUAAUGUCAAAUAGUUGUUUUUUUUCCUUAUGCCUGGUGAAAAAACAAAUGUUGAAGUGGGAUAAGCUA
This is a long non-coding RNA of Alligator mississippiensis (American alligator), 2767 nucleotides long. RefSeq lists it as uncharacterized. NCBI's taxonomy places the organism in Eukaryota, Metazoa, Chordata, Crocodylia, Alligatoridae. The record is from RefSeq and is a predicted model, not a curated record. The transcript has 3 exons.